Molecule: ribosomal RNA, 119 nt
Organism: Sarcophilus harrisii (Tasmanian devil)
Lineage: Eukaryota; Metazoa; Chordata; Mammalia; Dasyuromorphia; Dasyuridae
Source: Ensembl
AGCUACGGCCAUAUCACCCUGAACAUGCCUGAUCUCGUCUGAUCUCAGAAGCUAAGCACGGUAGGGCCUGGUUAGUACUUGGAUGGAAGACCACCUGGGAAUACCAGGUGCUGUAGGGG